RNAcentral lists this ribosomal RNA (2154 nucleotides) under Triticum aestivum (bread wheat). Its description in RNAcentral is "partial small subunit ribosomal RNA". Lineage: Eukaryota; Viridiplantae; Streptophyta; Magnoliopsida; Poales; Poaceae. The record is from RNAcentral.
AUGUCAGCAAGGAAGAGGAACAACCAACAUCUGCUUCCAAAUGAAGAGAAUGGGAAUAAUCCUCCCAAAAGAAAGAAGGAUGUCAGCAAUGAAGACAACCUCCAGUUGUUUGUUAAAUUUCUGUCUGAACUUAAUGAUACUCAGAAGAACAUAGUUCGAAAACUUGGCUUCGCUUCACUGCUACGAAUCAGCUGUGCCUGCAACAUUGAUGAUAUUUUCAUGUGGCUUGCAUUACAAUUCAAUACUGCAACAUGCACUCUGGAGCUGAGGAAUGGAUUCAAUUUUGAAUUCAACACAUCUAUUGUUCAUAAAAUCCUUGGAAUUCCUGCUGGUGGCUUACCAAUAAAUUCUACACCAACCAAAGAAUGUGUAGAUAUUAUCAAUAACUUUGUACAAUCAUCAGCACCUACUAUAGAGCAUCUUAUUGCGAUGAUUACGGACAACAUUUCCGAAGAAAAUUUCUCUACUAUAUUCUUGCUCCUCGCUAUCUCAAGCUUGAUUGCUCCUAAUGCGAAAGGUUCCCCAUCAAAGAAAUUCUACAGUGCUCUGCAAAACAUUAGUUAUGCUGGCAAAUACAACUGGUGCCUUUCAACUCUAUCCUACCUAGUUGCGCACUUCGAAUUCUUAAUUACUUCUGAAUUCAAGUUCCCUAUCGACAUACUGCCAAGACUCCCAUUGUGGUCAUCUAGCUUGCUAAAAACUUUCACAGCCCUAGACACAAUGCACGGUGUACACCUUCAGUUCGGAAGACUUCCGGAGAAGGCACUGCUUGAAGAUAUGACCAAGAAAUUUUGGCAAACGAUAAUAUCAAACUCCAUUCCAACAACGGAAAGAUACAUUGAUGAUCUCCAUUCGACAAUCUCCAAGAGUUUCACCCACAUCAACAAUGAAAUGACAGAGUCUGCAAAUGAACAAAUUACAUCCCCGAACAACCACAUUUCAUUACACCAGCAAGCUGAACAAAUCUACUCAAACAAAUACUUCAAGGAUCCAACAACUUUUUUAUCGUCACAUGAUUUCCUGGAUUUCGCAAUGCCUUACAGUAAUCCUCCAAACUGGGAAAAGGAAGAUGGAGAUUCAUCUAUUCAAUGGUUGGACAAGAAAUUCUCACAGUGCCUCCUUUUAGAAAACUCAUCAGGCAUUGAUGACCUGUUUCAGAAAAGGUCACCAACCUUUGAAGAUUUGUUCGUCAUCGAUAAAAUAAAUAAACAAUAUGACUACCCAGAUAUUGAUUUCCUCCAAGAUAGCAAACUGUACUGUUUGCAACAAGAAAAAGCAGCCAACAGAUUCGGUACACCUAUACCAGACCCUAUCAUGUACCAAGUCCUGGAAGAUUAUGAAGCUGAAUGUUUGCUCAGAGAUAAAGCAGCAGCAGAGCAGCCACCACUGCAGAACUUCUCUUCAGCAUCAAAAUUGCACAUAACAACUCAGCUCAAUUCGGAACAAGUUAUUUUCUCAACAGCAGCUCAAGCAGAUUUCUUCAAAAUGAUGUCGUCACUUCUACCUCAUAUAGACAUCAGCCAAAGGAUAUUCCAAAUAGAUAACGUGUGGGUCGAUCAAAAAACUUUGACUGUUUCAAUGAGGCCAGGCGGCUGGAUGAACCCACACACUUUGGAUUGCUAUUCUAAAAUGCUCAACACAGAUCUACUCAAUCGGGGAAGGCAGGGUCUAAUACCAAGCAAUGAACCUAUUGUCCAUAUCGUCGGCACAGAAGACAUGGUUCAUCUGCCUUGCUUCAAUGACAAACAGUGGAUUGUAAUCACUGCUAACUUUGACAGUGGCAAAUUCUUUGAUAUAAUGAACCCUGAUGGAUCUGGAAACAACAAAUUCACUUCAAUUAUCAGCACUGUUACAUUCAACUUCAAGAGUCUGUUUGCGAAAACAUACCCAAAUUGCAUCGCAUUCAACAUAAAAGAAUUUGACUACCGUUUCGUUCCAGUACCCCGGACUCAUUUCAGGUACGACACCGGCAUAUUCCUCCUGCAAAUUCUAAAAACAUACCGGGGGAUGGGAGUGCCAGGAUUCACAACUCAUGACCUACAGGCCUUAAGAGAAAUUUUUCUCUACGAAAUUGCGACUUGUUCCAACAGUGAAGUUCAACUACCAUUGGUCAAAGCUUUCCAACAAAAUCACGGUUUCCGGCUAUUCAGGUGA